AAGUCGUAACAAGGUCUCCGUAGGUGAACCUGCGGAGGGAUCAUAUUAUGGAUAAUUUUAUGACCAAAGGAGGAGAAUAUGUGUAUGUGUGUGUGUGUGUUUAUAUUUUAUUUGAUUAAAAUGUGAAUAUACAUAUAUACAUAUGUAUAUAUAUAUACUUUUGGAAAUAUAAUUUUAGAUGUGCACUUGUAUUGAAAGCCAAAGAGAUAUAUAUUUGCUAUAAUAUAAAUAUAUAUAAUAUAUGUAUAUAGCAAAAUAUCUUUUUAAACCUAAACUGUGUUUAUAACCAAAUCUAGUUUUAAUAUAUAAUAUAAUUAUAAAAAAAAAACAACUUUUAACAACGGAUCUCUAGGCUCUU
This 358-nucleotide unclassified non-coding RNA is filed under the name fungal sp. RNAcentral's name for it is "partial internal transcribed spacer region". The stretch from base 1 to 46 matches the Rfam family "Eukaryotic small subunit ribosomal RNA", at positions 1786 to 1831 of the family's 1831-position model. Lineage: Eukaryota; Fungi. The record is from RNAcentral.